Molecule: small RNA, 30 nt
Filed under: Bombyx mori (domestic silkworm)
Lineage: Eukaryota; Metazoa; Arthropoda; Insecta; Lepidoptera; Bombycidae
Description: ovarian small RNA-30038
Source: RNAcentral
UCUGUCGCCAAAUGAGCAUCUCGGCUCGUC